This 400-nucleotide ribosomal RNA is filed under the name phytoplankton environmental sample. RNAcentral's name for it is "partial small subunit ribosomal RNA". It matches the Rfam family "Eukaryotic small subunit ribosomal RNA", at positions 587 to 991 of the family's 1831-position model. The record is from RNAcentral.
AGCUCCAAUAGCGUAUAUUAAAGUUGUUGCAGUUAAAAAGCUCGUAGUUGGAUUUGUGGCUGUCACGAGCGGCCUAUCACUUAGUGUUAGUGCUUGCCUGUGUCGCCAUCCUUGGGUGGAGCCCGUGUGGCAUUAGGUUGUCGUGCGGGGGAUGCCCAUCGUUUACUGUGAGAAAAUUAGAGUGUUCAAAGCAGGCUUAUGCCGUUGAAUAUGUUAGCAUGGAAUAAUAAGAUAGGACCUCGGUACUAUUUUGUUGGUUUGCGCACCGAGGUAAUGAUUAAUAGGGACAGUUGGGGGUAUUCGUAUUCCAUUGUCAGAGGUGAAAUUCUUGGAUUUCUGGAAGACGAACUACUGCGAAAGCAUUUACCAAGGAUGUUUUCAUUAAUCAAGAACGAAAGUA